This 242-nucleotide long non-coding RNA is filed under the name Carica papaya (papaya). RNAcentral describes it as "long non-coding RNA (CPAP_LNC009381)". The record is from RNAcentral. Lineage: Eukaryota; Viridiplantae; Streptophyta; Magnoliopsida; Brassicales; Caricaceae.
UGUGGGUAAGGGUAGGUUGUGUUUGAAUAUUUGUAGAAAUAUGAGAGACAAUGUGUGGGGAAUUUUUUGUGCAAGAAGAAUGGUAUUCUAAGUAUGGGAUAUAGGAUUUAUAAAGUGGGUUACAUCGGUAAGUAAGGGGUCUUUAAAAGGAGAAGGAAGAGAAAACUUAGGCAAGGUAAGGAUCCGAGAAUCCACCUAUAUAUGGGUGUCACUAAUAGAAAUUAUAGGUCUUAUAGAUCCCC